Molecule: long non-coding RNA, 2262 nt
Filed under: Prunus dulcis (almond)
Lineage: Eukaryota; Viridiplantae; Streptophyta; Magnoliopsida; Rosales; Rosaceae
Description: sRNA ncRNA
Source: RNAcentral
AUGCAAGAAAUAGUUGUAGUUAUAUUCAGAGAAGCCUUGAAGGAUGCUGAGAUGGAAAAUCUAGAAAAAGGAAAACAACUAGAAGUUGAGGUUGCAAACAAAGAAAAGUUGAACCAAAAAAUACUCUUUCUGGCAGAAGCAAAGAAGCGAUUGGAACAAGAGGCAGCAGCUGCCUUGGAAAAGGAAAAGGAGCGAUGUGAACUAGCUGCUCAAGAGCUUGAAAAUUUAAGGGGUGAAUCAAAUGCUGCACAUCGUAAUUUGGUUGAAAGACAUAAGGCAGAUAUUUGCAAGUUAGAUCAGAUGCUUCUUGAUGUCAACCAAGAGAAGCAGAAUGCUGUGUCUUUGUUUGAAGCAAAAGAAAGGGAGUUCAAGCAGCAAUUGAAAUCAUUAGUUGUCUAUAGCCGUGGAUUAUUGAGAGCGAUUACUGAUUUUGAAUGUAGAGUAACACAAGAUAUUUCAGGAAAAUCUUCAAGGUACUUGCUCAGUUAUUGUAACCUAUAAGUGCUCUACCUGUAAAUGCCUUUCGUGCUCUAAUUCUGUGCUUUAACUUUAAAUGCCUUUUGUAUUUCUGUGAUUUUGUUUCCAGGUUGAAGAUUUUGAGUUCUCAAUCGCGUUCGCUUAAACAAAAAGCUAAAGUACUUGUAAAAAGAAAGAUUCUAUACAAGCAGGGAUUUGAAAGGAAAUGUUCUGACCUUGAAAAAGCUGAAGCCGAGGUAUGUAAAUCAGAUAGGUAUUAUGCAUAUUUCAACUUGAUGUUUCGGCCUCGGAUUGUCUUUCAUGCUAUGAAACUUAUGGAAUUGAAUAGUUGCUUGCAUAUACUUAUGGGAGAAGAUGGUUUGAGACAUAUUGUUGGAUGAUAGAAUGGUAUUGUAAAUAUGAUUGGAAGUUAUCUUCCAUUACUAAUCUUGAUUUCCUUUCCGUUUCACAGUACUAAGCUUUACUUUAGUUUUCUUUUCUACUUGAAAACGUCUUGGAGUUAUAUGUGUUUGAAGGUUCAAUUAGAUAUAUUUUUAGUAUAUAAUUAUAUCAAAUUUGAUUACAAAGAUAGCCUUCAAAGUUUUUAUUCCCCAAGUCAUAAGAACAUACUUUGUAAGUUUUUUACAGAUACUGUAAUAAGCGUGUAAUUUUGUGGUAUAUUUAAUGGAUCAUUUCUCACUGGAUUUCAGGUUGAUCUUUUGGGGCAGGAGGUGGACAGUCUAUCGAGCUUGGUUGAAAAAAUAUACAUGGCCCUUGAUCAUUAUUCACCAAUAUUGCAACAUUAUUUUGGAGUAAGUUGUUUUCUUCUUUUGAUUGGUGAUUUGUCAAGCUUUCUCUAUCUUACUUUUAUAUUUUCCGGUACCUGUGUGCAAGGAUGAAAUUGUUGAUUCGGUGGAAAUAUCGGUUGUUCGUAUUUUAGAAAAUCUGUGAAAACAUGAAGUAAAAUUUUACAGAAACAAUGAAAAUUUACUUGAAACAUGAAAAAUGUGGGGAAAAAAAGCUUUUCGAAAUGGGAUAUAGGUAGGAUGUUGGGAUUCUUAACUAGUUAUUUGUGGAUUUAGUACAAAGUUAUAUAUUUUUGGGAUUUAGUCGGAAGGCAUUCUUAUAUCUAUUAAUGGGUACUUGGUUGUUGGUUCUCACUAUUGUGCACUAUUAUGCGGAAACACACAAGAUCUUGUUAUCAAUGGACUACGAGAAAAAACAAACCACACCAACGAUGAAGGAAAUUGAGCGUGCUCACACACAAAAGUAAACAAACCAACCAGGAACACAAGAAAUUUAUAGAUGUUCGGUAACGUGUCCACAUCCUCUCCAAUGAUCCCCUUGAGAAAUUUCACUAGAAGAAUAAGAACAACUUUGGUUUACAAGAAAAGCCUAUUAGCUCUCUAUUCUCUCAAACCCUAGCUCUCUAUUUACCUCUCACCCUUUUGGCUCAAACCCAAUUUGAUGCCCCCUUGUUUUCUAGAUUAUACCUUUAACCUAGCCCCAAAAGUCCUAUUUAUAGCUUAUUUGACUUAGGUUACAAGUCUACUUAAGAAUAGGAAACAUAAGCCCUAUUAGAUUAGGCUAGAAAUCCCACACAAAAAAAGGUUGGAACACGUCAACCACGUCCAAAACAAGUCAGGACAUACAACCUAUGUAUGGUAAGCCAAAAACACAACACGCACAACCUAGUGUCGUGAAUGCUUGAUGUACAGAUAAAAUCAUCCAUGUAUUGAUUCAACUUUUGUUGUGCUUCGCAGAUACCUGAGAUCUUGAAGCUCAUGAGAGGAAAAUUACGUGGAC